This 253-nucleotide ribosomal RNA is filed under the name uncultured bacterium. RNAcentral describes it as "partial 16S ribosomal RNA". It matches the Rfam family "Bacterial small subunit ribosomal RNA", at positions 524 to 776 of the family's 1533-position model. The record is from RNAcentral.
UACAGAGGGUGCAAGCGUUGUUCGGAUUUACUGGGCGUAAAGCGUACGCAGACGGUAUGCCAAGUCGAACGUGAAAGCCCCGGGCUCAACCUGGGAACUGCGCUCGAUACUAGCAAACUAGAGUUCGGGAGAGGAAAGCGGAAUUCCUGGUGUAGAGGUGAAAUUCGUAGAUAUCAGGAGGAACACCGGCGGCGAAGGCGGCUUUCUGGCCCGACACUGACGUUGAGGUACGAGAGCGUGGGUAGCAAACAGG